GACGAACGCUGGCGGCGUGCUUAACACAUGCAAGUCGUACGGUAAGGCCCUUUCGGGGGUACACGAGUGGCGAACGGGGGCGUAACACGUGCGUAACCUGCCCACAACUUUGGGAUAACGCUAGGAAACUGGUGCUAAUACUGGAUAUGUGCUCCUGCUGCAUGGUGGGGGUUGGAAAGCUCCGGCGGUUGUGGAUGGACUCGCGGCCUAUCAGCUUGUUGGUGGGGUAGUGGCCUACCAAGGCGGCUACGGGUAGCCGGCCUGAGAGGGUGACCGGCCACAUUGGGACUGAGAUACGGCCCAGACUCCUACGGGAGGCAGAAGUGGGGAAGAUUGCACAAUGGGCGCAAGCCUGAUGCAGAAACGCCGCGUGCGGGAUGACGGCCUUCGGGUUGUAAACCGCUUUCAGCAGGGACGAAGCUUUUUGUGACGGUACCUGCAGAAGAAGCACCGGCUAACUACGUG
Molecule: ribosomal RNA, 465 nt
Filed under: uncultured bacterium
Lineage: Bacteria
Description: partial 16S ribosomal RNA
Rfam family: Bacterial small subunit ribosomal RNA
Source: RNAcentral